CCCUUAGAUGUUCUGGGCAGCACGCGCGCUACACUGACCAGUGCAACAAGCAUCCGUCCUUGGCCGACAGGCCCGGGCAAUCUUUGAACGCUGGUCGUGAUGGGGAUAGACUUUUGCAAUUUUUGGUCUUCAACGAGGAAUUCCUAGUAAACGCAAGUCAUCAACUUGCAUUGAUUACGUCCCUGCCCUUUGUACACACCGCCCGUCGCACCUACCGAUUGAAUGGUCCGGUGAAGCCUCCGGAUUGGCGCGCACCUCGGUGCCGCCGAGAAGUUGGCUAAACCUUACCAUUUAGAGGAAGGUGAAGUCGUAACA
RNAcentral lists this ribosomal RNA (315 nucleotides) under uncultured eukaryote. Its description in RNAcentral is "partial 18S ribosomal RNA". It matches the Rfam family "Eukaryotic small subunit ribosomal RNA", at positions 1470 to 1796 of the family's 1831-position model. The record is from RNAcentral.